ACUAUAAUAAGAAAAUGAUUCUAAUUUGUUAUUAUUAACUUGCAUACAUCUCAUUUAAGCAGAUACUUCAUUAAAACUAUAAAACAUGAUUGUAUAUGAUAAUUUUGAUGAAUAUUAAAAAUUCAUGUUUUAAACUGCCUUUAAAGCACUGAAUUAUCGAGUCAUUCUCCAAUUAUUAUAUUUUUUUAGAUGCAAAUACAGCAGAUCACUCAAGGGAUGCUGAAACAUUAUUUGGUAUUCAAACAAUUCUGGAAAAAUGCAAAUACAGCAGAUCACUCAAGGGAUGCUGAAACAUUAUUUGGUAUUCAAACAACUCUGGAAAAGUAUGAUCAUCCAAUUUUGAAAAUGAACUAAAAGAUACUGAUUAUAAAGAAUUUAUGCAAUAUGCAAAUACAGCAGAUCACUCAAGGGAUGCUGAAACAUUAUUUGGUAUUCAAACAACUCUGGAAAAGUAUGAACAUCCAAUUUUGAAAAUGAACUAACGAAUACUGAUUAUAAUGAAUUUAUGCAAAUUACAUAUUGCAAUACAGCAGACAAUGAAAGCCAUGGUGAGACAUGAAUUCGCGAUUCUAUCAGUUUGGAAAAUAUAAACAUCUUAUGAUGAAAAUGGACUAGAAGAUACUGAUAAUAAUAAUUGUUUUAUUCAACGUACGUGUAGAGCUUAUAAUAGAAUAUAAUUUAUAGAAAAUUAAUAGUUAUGUAACAAAAUGUUAAUGU
Molecule: long non-coding RNA, 717 nt
Organism: Rhopalosiphum padi (bird cherry-oat aphid)
Lineage: Eukaryota; Metazoa; Arthropoda; Insecta; Hemiptera; Aphididae
Exons: 4
Source: RefSeq, a predicted model, not a curated record